UUUCCUACGGGACGCAGCAGUGAGGAAUAUUGGUCAAUGGGCGCGAGCCUGAACCAGCCAAGUCGCGUGAGGGAAGACGGUCCUAUGGAUUGUAAACCUCUUUUGUCGGGGAGCAAAAGACGCCACGCGUGGCGUUCCGAGAGUACCCGAAGAAAAAGCAUCGGCUAACUCCGUGCCAGCAGCCGCGGUAAUACGGAGGAUGCGAGCGUUAUCCGGAUUUAUUGGGUUUAAAGGGUGCGCAGGCGGGCUGUUAAGCCGGCGGUAAAAAUUCAGGGCUCAACCCUGUCGAGCCGUCGGAACUGGCA
Molecule: ribosomal RNA, 305 nt
Filed under: uncultured bacterium
Lineage: Bacteria
Description: bacterial SSU rRNA
Rfam family: Bacterial small subunit ribosomal RNA
Source: RNAcentral